CGGCAUGCCUUACACAUGCAAGUCGAACGGCAGCGCGGGGCAACCUGGCGGCGAGUGGCGAACGGGUGAGUAAUAUAUCGGAACGUACCCAAGAGUGGGGGAUAACGUAGCGAAAGUUACGCUAAUACCGCAUAUUCCCUGAGGGGGAAAGGAGGGGAUCCGCAAGGACCUUUCGCUUACGGAGCGGCCGAUGGCAGAUUAGGUAGUUGGUGGGAUAAAAGCUUACCAAGCCGACGAUCUGUAGCUGGUCUGAGAGGACGACCAGCCACACUGGGACUGAGACACGGCCCAGACUCCUACGGGAGGCAGCAGUGGGGAAUUUUGGACAAUGGGCGAAAGCCUGAUCCAGCCAUGCCGCGUGCAGGAUGAAGGCCUUCGGGUUGUAAACUGCUUUUGUACGGAACGAAAAGACUCCUUCUAAUAAAGGGGGUCCAA
RNAcentral lists this ribosomal RNA (435 nucleotides) under uncultured bacterium. Its description in RNAcentral is "bacterial SSU rRNA". It matches the Rfam family "Bacterial small subunit ribosomal RNA", at positions 40 to 476 of the family's 1533-position model. The record is from RNAcentral.